RNAcentral lists this ribosomal RNA (507 nucleotides) under uncultured bacterium. RNAcentral's name for it is "bacterial SSU rRNA". It matches the Rfam family "Bacterial small subunit ribosomal RNA", at positions 28 to 496 of the family's 1533-position model. The record is from RNAcentral.
GACGAACGCUGGCGGCGUGCCUAAUACAUGCAAGUCGAACGCACUUUCGUUAGAUUGAAGAAGCUUGCUUCUGAUUGAUAACAUUUGAGUGAGUGGCGGACGGGUGAGUAACACGUGGGUAGCCUGCCCUAAAGUGGGGGAUAACAUUUGGAAACAGAUGCUAAUACCGCAUAAAACCUAGCACCGCAUGGUGCAAGGUUGAAAGAUGGUUUCGGCUAUCACUUUAGGAUGGACCCGCGGUGCAUUAGUUAGUUGGUGAGGUAAAGGCUCACCAAGACCGUGAUGCAUAGCCGACCUGAGAGGGUAAUCGGCCACACUGGGACUGAGACACGGCCCAGACUCCUACGGGAGGCAGCAGUAGGGAAUCUUCCACAAUGGACGAAAGUCUGAUGGAGCAACGCCGCGUGAGUGAAGAAGGUUUUCGGAUCGUAAAACUCUGUUGUUGGAGAAGAACGUAUUUGAUAGUAACUGAUCAGGUAGUGACGGUAUCCAACCAGAAAGCCACGG